GCACAAAAUUUUUAGUUCAAACAACAAAAUUAGUGGUUGUAACUUACCAUUUUCAAAGUCACCUAUAGAAGGCUGCAAUAUCCAAAGGCGCUCAGGAAAACAUGAGAACCAGCUGGAAAGGCAUUUUCCCAUGUUCCCACUGUUUUGCUAUGAUAAAUACUGUAUUUGAUUACCUUCUGCUGAAGUUUUAUAAAAAGAGGUCAUUCUUUAAUGCUGAGGCCGUUUGUGGAGAGUGAUCAAGUUGGAACCAAUGAUUUAGAGAAUUCCGGACAUGAGAGACUGGAAAGCAAAUCAGAAAAAAAGACAAGUGACGAAGGUUUACAGUCAGGAAACAAAAUUCUGGCCUUCUGUUCUGGUUUACUUUCUGCAGCGAUGAAGCAGAAUGCGAAAGCCGGA
Molecule: non-coding RNA, 396 nt
Organism: Callithrix jacchus (white-tufted-ear marmoset)
Lineage: Eukaryota; Metazoa; Chordata; Mammalia; Primates; Cebidae
Source: RefSeq, a predicted model, not a curated record